Molecule: unclassified non-coding RNA, 373 nt
Filed under: Hevea brasiliensis (rubber tree)
Lineage: Eukaryota; Viridiplantae; Streptophyta; Magnoliopsida; Malpighiales; Euphorbiaceae
Source: RNAcentral
GGUGUAUCUCGGUAUGUACACUGGCACAUGUGUGUGGUAAGACAUUACAAUCGGCACAGACAGAAGUUUAGCAAUGAUAAGAGCACCAAAUACCAUUAUACCAGGUGAUGAUGCAUGUAUGAUAUCAGGCUUGAAUUGUGCUACCUCUGAGAUUAUUCUAGGGCUGAGAGCAAGUGAGAGAGGUACUUUCGCGUAGCAGGGGCAGGGAAAACUUCGUGAUCCUAUCAACUUUGCCCCAUAAAAUUCUUCAGGUACUCCUUCAUGUGUUGUCACAACCAUAACCUCAUCCCCCAUUUCUCGGAGGUACUUUAUAAAAUUUUGGAACCUGUUCUUAUAUCCAGAAACAUACGAAAAAGGAGAAGGCUCAACAAAG